UGAUCUAGCCCUGCCGCGUGAGUGACGAAGGCCCUAGGGUCGUAAAGCUCUUUCGCCUGUGAAGAUAAUGACGGUAGCAGGUAAAGAAACCCCGGCUAACUCCGUGCCAGCAGCCGCGGUAAUACGGAGGGGGUUAGCGUUGUUCGGAAUUACUGGGCGUAAAGCGCGCGUAGGCGGAUUGGAAAGUUGGGGGUGAAAUCCCGGGGCUCAACCCCGGAACUGCCUCCAAAACUUCCAGUCUGGAGUUCGAGAGAGGUGAGUGGAAUUCCGAGUGUAGAGGUGAAAUUCGUAGAUAUUCGGAGGAACACCAGUGGCGAAGGCGGCUCACUGGCUCGAUACUGACGCUGAGGUGCGAAAGUGUGGGGAGCAAACAGGAUUAGAUACCCUGGUAGUCCACACCGUAAACGAUGAAUGCCAGACGUCGGGCAGCAUGCUGUUCGGUGUCACACCUAACGGAUUAAGCAUUCCGCCUGGGGAGUACGGCCGCAAGGUUA
RNAcentral lists this ribosomal RNA (494 nucleotides) under uncultured bacterium. Its description in RNAcentral is "bacterial SSU rRNA". It matches the Rfam family "Bacterial small subunit ribosomal RNA", at positions 384 to 896 of the family's 1533-position model. The record is from RNAcentral.